RNAcentral lists this transfer RNA (73 nucleotides) under Camelus bactrianus (Bactrian camel). It matches the Rfam family "tRNA". From Rfam's summary of the family: Transfer RNA (tRNA) molecules are approximately 80 nucleotides in length. Their secondary structure includes four short double-helical elements and three loops (D, anti-codon, and T loops). The record is from Rfam by way of RNAcentral. RNAcentral also lists the same sequence under 1 other name. Lineage: Eukaryota; Metazoa; Chordata; Mammalia; Artiodactyla; Camelidae.
GAGGGUAUAGCUCAGCUGGUAAAGUGCAUGCUUGGCGUGCACCAGAUCCAGGGUUCAAUCCCCGGUACCUCCA